GCGAGAGUGGUAUAGUGGCCUAGCAUACGGCCUUGCCAAGGCUGUGACCCGGGUUCAAAUCCCGGCUCUCGCA
This 73-nucleotide transfer RNA is filed under the name Nanobdellota archaeon. Its description in RNAcentral is "tRNA-Gly". It matches the Rfam family "tRNA". From Rfam's summary of the family: Transfer RNA (tRNA) molecules are approximately 80 nucleotides in length. Lineage: Archaea; Nanobdellati; Nanobdellota. The record is from RNAcentral.